RNAcentral lists this ribosomal RNA (250 nucleotides) under uncultured bacterium. Its description in RNAcentral is "partial 16S ribosomal RNA". It matches the Rfam family "Bacterial small subunit ribosomal RNA", at positions 525 to 774 of the family's 1533-position model. The record is from RNAcentral.
ACGAGUGGUGCAAGCGUUAUUCGGAGUGAUUGGGCGUAAAGGGUGUGUAGGCGGUAUGCUAAGUCAGUUGUCAAAUACCUCGGCUUAACCGAGGAACGGCAGUUGAUACUGGUGUACUUGAGGAUGGAAGAGAGAAGUGGAAUUCUCGGAGUAGCGGUAAAAUGCGUAGAUCUCGAGAGGAACACCGAUGGCGAAGGCAGCUUCUUGGUCCAUUCCUGACGCUGAAACACGAAAGCGUGGGGAGCAAACA